GCCAGGCAUGGUGGCGCAUGCCUGUAAUCCCAGCGGCUCAGGAGGUUGAGGCAGGAGGAUCUCGAGUUCAAAUCCAGCCUCAGCAAAAGCAAGGUGUAAAGUAACUCAGUGAGACCCUGUCUCUA
RNAcentral lists this small RNA (125 nucleotides) under Marmota monax (woodchuck). The record is from RNAcentral. Lineage: Eukaryota; Metazoa; Chordata; Mammalia; Rodentia; Sciuridae.